AGUGAACGCUGGCGGUAGGCCUAACACAUGCAAGUCGAACGGCAGCACAGUAAGAGCUUGCUCUUACGGGUGGCGAGUGGCGGACGGGUGAGGAAUACAUCGGAAUCUACUUUUUCGUGGGGGAUAACGUAGGGAAACUUACGCUAAUACCGCAUACGACCUACGGGUGAAAGCAGGGGAUCUUCGGACCUUGCGCGGUUGAAUGAGCCGAUGUCGGAUUAGCUAGUUGGCGGGGUAAAGGCCCACCAAGGCGACGAUCCGUAGCUGGUCUGAGAGGAUGAUCAGCCACACUGGAACUGAGACACGGUCCAGACUCCUACGGGAGGCAGCAGUGGGGAAUAUUGGACAAUGGGCGCAAGCCUGAUCCAGCCAUACCGCGUGGGUGGAGAAGGCCUUCGGGUUGUAAAGCCCUUUUGUUGGGAAAGAAAAGCAGCAGGUUAAUACCCCGCUGUUCUGACGGUACCCAAAGAAUAAGCACCGGCUAACUUCGUG
RNAcentral lists this ribosomal RNA (492 nucleotides) under uncultured bacterium. RNAcentral's name for it is "partial 16S ribosomal RNA". It matches the Rfam family "Bacterial small subunit ribosomal RNA", at positions 29 to 507 of the family's 1533-position model. The record is from RNAcentral.